GGGUCUCACUCUCAUGCGGCCACA
This 24-nucleotide non-coding RNA is filed under the name Arabidopsis thaliana (thale cress). Lineage: Eukaryota; Viridiplantae; Streptophyta; Magnoliopsida; Brassicales; Brassicaceae. The record is from RNAcentral.